Molecule: ribosomal RNA, 399 nt
Filed under: uncultured bacterium
Lineage: Bacteria
Description: partial 16S ribosomal RNA
Rfam family: Bacterial small subunit ribosomal RNA
Source: RNAcentral
CCUACGGGAGGCUGCAGUGGGGGAUAUUGCACAAUGGGGGAAACCCUGAUGCAGCGACGCCGCGUGUGGGAAGACGGUCCUCUGGAUUGUAAACCACGGUCCCCAGGGACGAAGAUGACGGUACCGGGGGAGGAAGCGCCGGCUAACUACGUGCCAGCAGCCGCGGUAAUACGUAGGGAGCGAGCGUUGACCGGAAUUACGGGGUGUAAAGGGAGCGUAGGCGGGACUGCAAGUUGGGUGUCAAAUCUACCGGCUCAACCGGUAGCCGCACUCAAAACUGCAGUUCUUGAGUGAAGUAGAGGCAGGCGGACUUCCUAUUGUAGCGGUGACAUGCGUCGAUCUUAGGAGGCACACCAGUGGCGCAGGCGGCCUGCUGGGCUUUUCCUGACGCUGAGGCUC